This 301-nucleotide ribosomal RNA is filed under the name uncultured bacterium. RNAcentral's name for it is "partial 16S ribosomal RNA". It matches the Rfam family "Bacterial small subunit ribosomal RNA", at positions 509 to 807 of the family's 1533-position model. The record is from RNAcentral.
CAGUCGCCACGGUAAUACGAAGGGUGCAAGCGUUAAUCGGAAUUACUGGGCGUAAAGCGCGCGUAGGCGGUUUGUUAAGUCUGUUGUGAAAUCCCCGGGCUCAACCUGGGAAUGGCAAUGGAUACUGGCAAGCUAGAGUGUGUCAGAGGAUGGUGGAAUUCCCGGUGUAGCGGUGAAAUGCGUAGAGAUCGGGAGGAACAUCAGUGGCGAAGGCGGCCAUCUGGGACAACACUGACGCUGAGGCACGAAAGCGUGGGGAGCAAACAGGAUUAGAUACCCCGGUAGUCCCUGUCUCUUAUAC